AACUGGGGCGGGUCCCUCACAGUGGCACAGAGGGAGGCGAGAGGGUCUGCGCCCAGACCUCUGCAGAUGACACAAUGGAGCCAGAGAGGUACAGUGACUCCCCCAAGGCCACACAGCACAGGAGACAAGGGGCUGUUCAGACAACCAUGGGGCGCCUGGGUGGCUCAGUCAGUCAAGC
Molecule: long non-coding RNA, 178 nt
Organism: Hyaena hyaena (striped hyena)
Lineage: Eukaryota; Metazoa; Chordata; Mammalia; Carnivora; Hyaenidae
Exons: 3
Source: RefSeq, a predicted model, not a curated record